AUGAGGGGGAAACUAAGUAAGAUGCCGGAGAAGCGACGAAAUAUACGAGAUCAAAAACGUAGAUUGCUCGCGGCUAAAUAUGAAUUGAGACGAAAGCUUUCAAAUUUUGUAACCCGAUUUCCGUCUGAUAUGCGGGACAAACAUCGUUAUAAGUUGUCCAAGUUGCCAAGAAAGAGUUCAAUGGCACGAGUAAGAAACCGAGGUAUUUUCACGGGUCGCCCUCGUUCGGUAGUUGAGUUCUUUCGCAUUUCUCGUAUCGUUUUUCGUGGAUUAGCAUCUCGAGGUUCUUUGAUGGGCAUAAAGAAAUCGUCUUGGUAG
Molecule: ribosomal RNA, 318 nt
Filed under: Triticum aestivum (bread wheat)
Lineage: Eukaryota; Viridiplantae; Streptophyta; Magnoliopsida; Poales; Poaceae
Description: partial small subunit ribosomal RNA
Source: RNAcentral